AUGCCUCAUCAUCUUCUUGACGCAGUCUUUGUAGGUUUCGCCGGGUGCGCGGGUGAUUCCUGUCGCCCGGGAUCCCAGCCCCGCCGUCGCGACGCGCUGCUCGGCUUCGAUGAUGGUGGUCCGGCCUUGGUUCUUCUUGCCGAGACCCAUUCCCUCCUGCCAGCCCAUCUUCUGGAGGAGCUUAUUACCCAAGUUAUCGGAGCCGAUUCCGGCUUUCGUUGGUUCUUCGUAGCUGACGGUCGCUUCCUUGGCUUUGAGGAAGGCCUCCUUGUAGCGGUUGGGCCGCGGCUCGUCCGGCUCGCCGUACUUCUGCCGCCGCUCCUUGGCGCGAUCCCUGUACUGGACGUUCCUCUUCUGGAUAUCGUCGGGGUCCAACCCUCGGUCGUCGUACCAUUUCCGGAGGUUCUGCUUGUGCAGGUCCGACAGAGACUGGUGCUUCAGCAGCACGUCUUUGCUGGGGAACUGACGCUUGCACAACAAGCAGGCCAGUUUGACCCAGUCGGUGUGUUGCUUGUCUUCGUUGGCCGUGUUCUCGGCCGUUUCGUCUUCGCUGUCGCUGCCUUGGCCGUAGUUGGCGACGAGGCUUUCGGUCUUGCUCAGGAAGGGUGCGGGGUCGGGAUCUAUGUACAGCGCGGACUGGGUGGGCUCCUUACGCUCGAGAACCGAGAACCCGAUGUCCGCAGAGCCCUGGGCCUUCGUGUUGGACGCGGCGGCUUGCGCGGCGACGAGGUUCUGCUUGGCGAUCUCCUUCUUGUGGUUCAGGGUCUUGGCCCACUUUUCCAUGUCUUUCGCGAUCCUCUUCGCCACUUUGACCUUGUCGUCCUUUUCGGGCUUCUCCUUCUUCUCGGCGUCGGACGCAGGAGCGGCGAGGGUCAUUCCGGCGGCUCCGCCGUUGGCUGCGCCGCCGACGGAUGGGACCGUGCUGGAAGUCGGUGCGGGAAGAUACGUAUUGCGCGUUCCGUCCCAGUACAAGAACUUGGCCAACUUGGAAUUGUAAUAAUACUGCGAAUUCGCAUCAUAGUACAGCGUUGUGUAAGGGUCGUAAUAGUACCCGGACGUCUUGUCGUACUGGUAAGUGCUCACGUCCGGGAUCGGAUACGCAUGCUCGCCGGAACCGGUCGGAGCUUCGACCAAAGGCGUAGCGGCGGCAGUUUUAGUGCUGUCAACUUGAGGAGUGGCAACAUUGGAGGAACCCGUGGUCGGUAG
This 1206-nucleotide long non-coding RNA is filed under the name Bemisia tabaci. RNAcentral describes it as "lncRNA ENSASIAIIG004306". The record is from RNAcentral. Lineage: Eukaryota; Metazoa; Arthropoda; Insecta; Hemiptera; Aleyrodidae.